RNAcentral lists this ribosomal RNA (514 nucleotides) under Nitidula flavomaculata. Its description in RNAcentral is "partial 16S ribosomal RNA". Lineage: Eukaryota; Metazoa; Arthropoda; Insecta; Coleoptera; Nitidulidae. The record is from RNAcentral.
GUCCUUUUGAUAUUUUUAUAAGGUCUAACCCGCCCCAUGGUUAAUUUUAAAUGGCCGCGGUAUUUUGACCGUGCAAAGGUAGCAUAAUCAUUAGUUUUUUAAUUGAAAGCUGGUAUGAAAGGUUGAAUAAAAAAAAAACUGUCUCUUAAAAAUUUUAAUUAGAAUUUUAUUUUUAAGUUAAAAAGCUUAAAUUUAAUUUAUAGACGAGAAGACCCUUUAGAGUUUUAUAUAAAAUUAAAUUUUUAAGUUUUAGAAUUAACAUAUAAAAUUUUAAUUUUAUAUUUGGUUGGGGKGAUUGAAAAAUUUAAUAAACUUUUUUUUUUAUUAUACAUUAAUAUAUGAAUAUUUGAUCCAUUAAUUAUGAUUAUAAGAUUAAAUUACCUAAGGGAUAACAGCGUUAUUUUUUUUAAGAGUUCAAAUCGAAAAAAAAGAUUGCGACCUCGAUGUUGGAUUAAAAUUAAAUUAGGGGGGAGAGGCUAUAAUUUUAGGCCGGUCCGACCUUUAAAAUUUUACA